UCUUUAGAAAAAUGUUUUCUCUCGCGAGACAUCAAAACAUGCCAACUUCCCUCAAUCUUAAACAUCGUAUCUAGUUCUAGCUCUCCCUCCAUGGCUGUUGCUUCAUCAGUCUCAGUCUCAGUCUCGCUCCAUACUUGUUAUUCUCAAUCUCAUAAACACGCUCUUCGCGUGGAACUAGUUUACAGUGUUUUAUCAUACUUGGAAGUUAUAUAAGGAAUGAAAAACAAUGUUAGUUCAAGUGUCUUUUCAGUCUAAUACAAAAAGUAUUGUAGGAAUGAAGUAACAAAUUUCAUUUUGCAUUAACUAGAAAAGUAUUCUAUUAUGAGUUACUAGCUAUGUAGCACCGACGCUUCAAAUUGAGGGUGUAUUUGAAUGUCUGACAAGUGUUGGUGUUUGACACAGCCACACAAUACGGAUACUUGUGAUUACUUACACUCACUUAUGUUUUCUCAAAUUAUGAUUGGUGUUAGUUUGAUACUGUUGUGUUAGAUUAUCACAUAUUAAAGCUAUCUAAUCAUGAGAUGAAAUGUGGUUGUGCAUAUAGGAAAUGGACAGAUGCUUAGAAGACAACAUCAAAAGGUAAUUCUACAAGCAGAAGCAGCAGUGUAAAUCAUCUAUCUUCCACAAAUGGUUCCUAUUCCUACUCAAAAAAAGAAAACUACAAAGUAUCACCAGCUCCAUCAGCUGUAACAGAAAUGAGUCCAAAAGCAUACAGUGGCCAUUUUGAAGAUUGCUUCAGUACAGCUCAAAGCAGUCCUCUUUGCUAGUCCGCUAUAUCGAAAACAGAUGAUUCAACUUCAGAUCAUCCUUUUUCUUUCCCUAAACAGUCUUAUGCAUAAACUAUGUACUAUCCUGUGAUUACCCUUUGUAUCCAAGUUACAUGGUUAAUACACAGAAUAAUCCAAGGCUAAAGUUAGAUCACACAGUGCACCAAAACAAAGGCCAGAUUGAUUUAAAAUGAAACCGAGCCGACAAAGAGUUUCGGUGGAGGGAAGAAAUGUACCUAGACCAGUGAGGAUGCAGAGGUCAUCAUCACAUGUUGGUGCCACUGCUCAGAACUACGAAUAUCCAUGGUCAAUUAAGCUCGAUAUAUCAGUGGUUUUGCUCCAAGGCAGCGAGGCUGGCUCGACAAGUACAAUGCUCACAAAUACUAAUUACUGCAGAUCUCUUGUUACAUAAGAUGUGAGUAGUACCAACUACUCUCAUACUACUAGUUUUUAUCAUACAAAACAUUAAGAAAUAACUAUAUAGGAUAAGUUGUUAAUUGCUUUGUUACACUGUUUAGAUUAAAAUCAGCAUAAAAUAUACAUUUUUCCACAA
Vicia villosa (hairy vetch) is the source of this 1320-nucleotide long non-coding RNA. RefSeq lists it as uncharacterized. The transcript has 2 exons. NCBI's taxonomy places the organism in Eukaryota, Viridiplantae, Streptophyta, Magnoliopsida, Fabales, Fabaceae. The record is from RefSeq and is a predicted model, not a curated record.